AAUCCAAAGUGAGGGUAUUGGUGUAAAAGUCCUUUGAAUCUAUCCCAAGGUUCGAAUAAGGAUUCUCCAUCUUUUUUCAUAAAGUUGGUGAUAAGAUUCCUCAAGU
Molecule: small nucleolar RNA, 106 nt
Organism: Zingiber officinale
Lineage: Eukaryota; Viridiplantae; Streptophyta; Magnoliopsida; Zingiberales; Zingiberaceae
Source: RefSeq, a predicted model, not a curated record